This 540-nucleotide long non-coding RNA is filed under the name Oryza brachyantha (malo sina). RNAcentral describes it as "long non-coding RNA (OBRA_LNC001319)". Lineage: Eukaryota; Viridiplantae; Streptophyta; Magnoliopsida; Poales; Poaceae. The record is from RNAcentral.
AUGUAACUUAUUUUUUAAUCAUUAAUAAGUCAUUUUACUUAUGCUUAAUAUAAGCUAAAAUAUGAGGUCGUUUGUUUCUGGUGAGAAGGUGCAUGGAGUGAUAUAUAAUGACAUCUCUCUUGUGUAUGUUAUGUGUUAAGACCUUGUCAACUAGAAUUUCUCUCUCCUAUACAUGUACCAAUUUCUGUGCCGUGUUCAUUGCUAGCUCGUGGUAAAGGGAAAACUAACGAGGAAUUUGCACAUGUAGGGAUAGGAGGCAUCGAGAUAUCAGAACAUAUGCUUAGCUAUCUAAGACUACUAUUAUUGUGAUAUCAUCAUAGCUGUAUGCUUGAUUAUCGUCACUGAUACUAAGGGGCAGUAAAUCCGAAGAUGAAAAAAAUUCAUUUUUUAAUUCCUAGGGAGGAGAAGUUUCAUCUUAGUUGCUACUGUAGAGCUGCAUGGCACACAAAUCUGUUUUAUCUUUCCAAUAAAGCUUCUCUAUAAAUUUGCCAAAAAGUUUUAUGCAAGGUACAUGCUUUGACUUCAAAAGUAUUAACAUAC